RNAcentral lists this long non-coding RNA (933 nucleotides) under Homo sapiens (human). Its description in RNAcentral is "HSALNT0113871". The record is from RNAcentral. Lineage: Eukaryota; Metazoa; Chordata; Mammalia; Primates; Hominidae.
UGCAAUGAGCUGAGAUCGCACCUCUGCACUCUACCCUGGGUGACAGAGCAAGACUCCAUCUCAAAAAAAAAAAAAAAGAAAAAGAAGAAACAACAAAUGUACAGUAAACAGAAGUGUCACCGGAGUUCAAAUAAAGGGAAAGUUAAUAUGGAUCAAAACCGCCUGAGAUGGGGGUCAUCAACUUAGUAACAUUUAAGUGAAUCAUAAAGGAUACAGAGAUGGUCUUAUUUAGAGAGAGGAAAAGAAAAGGGCAUUCCAGUUUGCCGGGAACAACAAAAAGAAGGACUUAAAUCAGAAACUUUGUAUGUCGUCACCCUUCAGCUCUGCUCCUUUACGUCUUGCUUUGUCCCUAGUUGGCUGUAACACCUGUGGAAUAUUACCAACUAAGCCCUUGCUUAGUUGCAAGUGGGAUUACAGGUGCACGCCUGUAAUCCCAGCUACUAGGGAGGCUGAGGCAGGAGAAUUGCUUGAACCCGGGAGGCGGAGGUUGCAGUGAGCCGAGAUCUCACCAUUGCACUCAAGCCCGGGAGACAGAGUGAGACUGCAUCUCUUCAAAAGCAGCAUGAAUUCCCAACUUUUCAAACAAACUUUUCUCUAUACAGUGGAAUUCGAGACUCUAGAAAAUGGUCUGCAUCAUCUUUGAGAUUUGCUCAAGGAUAUCUUCCUUCCCCAUCCUUAACUGUGCCCCCAGGGAGAAGCUCUGCAGGGAGGCAGAGCAGUGAAAUUAUCAUGUUGCUAAUGUGAAUUGAGUGUUUUCAUUCUCACAACAGCUCUCCCAGGUGGGUUGCUUCACAUCUGAGGAAACCGAGAUCAGAAAAAGUAAGUUGUUAACCCCUACACGGUGGAGCCGGGUCUCAAACGUGGUCUGGCUAACUGUAGAGCCAGGCUCUUCAAGAUUCUGUACAUGAGGCAACCACUCUAACUAUCCUGGGC